This 72-nucleotide transfer RNA is filed under the name Sphaerobolus stellatus SS14. RNAcentral's name for it is "tRNA-Gly (GCC) (tRNA-Gly-GCC-27-1)". It matches the Rfam family "tRNA". Rfam says of the family: Transfer RNA (tRNA) molecules are approximately 80 nucleotides in length. Their secondary structure includes four short double-helical elements and three loops (D, anti-codon, and T loops). Lineage: Eukaryota; Fungi; Basidiomycota; Agaricomycetes; Geastrales; Sphaerobolaceae. The record is from RNAcentral.
UCUUAUGUAGUAUAGUGGUUAGUAUUCACGUCCGCCAUGCGAGAAACCGGGGUUCAAAUCCUCGCCUGAGAG